Molecule: Y RNA, 95 nt
Filed under: Carlito syrichta (Philippine tarsier)
Lineage: Eukaryota; Metazoa; Chordata; Mammalia; Primates; Tarsiidae
Description: Y RNA (ENSTSYG00000029175.1)
Rfam family: Y RNA
About the family: Y RNAs are components of the Ro ribonucleoprotein particle (Ro RNP), in association with Ro60 and La proteins. The Y RNAs and Ro60 and La proteins are well conserved, but the function of the Ro RNP is not known.
Source: Rfam by way of RNAcentral
GCCUGGUCUGAGUACAGUGGUAUGCUAAUUGAUCACAACCAGUUACAGAUCGUUGUUCUUUCUCCACUCCCACUGCUUUACUUAACUAGCCUUUA